GGAGUUUGGACCGUGUCUCAGUUCCAAUGUGCCCGAUCAGCCUCUCAGCUCGGAUAUGCAUCGUUGCCUUGGUGGGCCAUUACCUCACCAACUAGCUAAUACACCGCAAGCCCAUCCCAAAGCGAAGCCGAAGCUCCUUUUAGCACAAAUAGUUAUCUAUCUGUGAAUCAUCCGGUAUUAGCUAUCGUUUCCAAUAGUUGUCCCAGACUAAGGGGUAGGUUACCCACGUGUUACUCACCCGUCUGCCACUAAGCGGAAAAUCCAAAUCAUAUAAAUCCAAAUCAAGUGCAAGCACUCUCAUUUUCAAAAUAAUCAAUGGGCCGCUUCGUUCGACUUGCAUGUCUUAGGCAUGCCGCCAGCGUUCAUC
This 367-nucleotide ribosomal RNA is filed under the name uncultured Mollicutes bacterium. RNAcentral's name for it is "partial 16S ribosomal RNA". Lineage: Bacteria; Bacillati; Mycoplasmatota; Mollicutes. The record is from RNAcentral.